Molecule: long non-coding RNA, 427 nt
Organism: Drosophila erecta
Lineage: Eukaryota; Metazoa; Arthropoda; Insecta; Diptera; Drosophilidae
Exons: 3
Source: RefSeq, a predicted model, not a curated record
UAUUUCACAAAAUACGGCUCAGUUAUAAUUGAAUCGUCAGUAGCUUCGGAUCACUUUCAAUCGUUUCCCUUUUUCACAAUCAUACAAAUAAAAGCACUAAACAGAGACAAAAAGGAGAGCAAGACAAAAAUAAGAAACAACCGAGGAAAGCAAAGCAAGUGAAACGGAGAGAAAGAACUUUCAUUUUCAAUGUCAAGCAACAAUAACAACAAACAGAAUGUCUGCCGGUUGCGGGAGUCGUUUUGUGAAGAGAGAGCUAAAAACAGAGAGCGGGACUAAGAAAAAGAAUGAGAGAAGAGCUUGGCGUGGAAUAUUUUUAUGCGCUUAUGGUUUUUGUUUUUAGCGGGAGAGCGCUUUUUUCGCCGCAUGGCAAUCGAAACACUGCCACAUCGCACCCUCGUUCACGCCAUGUGGUGCAACCAGCCGC